This 244-nucleotide unclassified non-coding RNA is filed under the name uncultured fungus. Its description in RNAcentral is "sequence contains 5.8S rRNA gene". The stretch from base 1 to 53 matches the Rfam family "5.8S ribosomal RNA", at positions 102 to 154 of the family's 154-position model. The record is from RNAcentral. Lineage: Eukaryota; Fungi.
GAACGCACAUUGCGCCCCUUGGUAUUCCGGGGGGCAUGCCUGUUCGAGCGUCAUUUCAACCCUCACGCGUAGCGUGGUCUUGGGCUCUGCCGGCGACGGCUUGCCUUAAAAUCAGUGGCGGUGCCAUCGGGCUCUACGCGUAGUAAUAAAACCCUCGCGUGUGAGUUCCGGCGGACGCUGGCCAGCAACCCCCAAUUUUUUAUGGUUGACCUCGAAUCAGGUAGGGAUACCCGCUGAACUUAAG